AUCCCAUGAUGUGGACAUCUUCUAAGUAAUUCCUUAAAUCCCUCUCAAGCUUCAUACAAGGAUUCACCAUCAAAUUGUGUAUAUGAGGUUAUAUCAUUCCUUAUCUU
Molecule: small nucleolar RNA, 107 nt
Filed under: Theobroma cacao (cacao)
Lineage: Eukaryota; Viridiplantae; Streptophyta; Magnoliopsida; Malvales; Malvaceae
Description: Plant small nucleolar RNA R71
Rfam family: Plant small nucleolar RNA R71
About the family: R71 is a member of the C/D box family of snoRNAs containing the C (UGAUGA) and D (CUGA) box motifs. Multiple nearly identical copies of this snoRNA have been identified in Arabidopsis, and it is thought to function as a 2'-O-ribose methylation guide for 18S ribosomal RNA.
Source: Rfam by way of RNAcentral